Molecule: unclassified non-coding RNA, 119 nt
Filed under: Candidatus Nitrospira inopinata
Lineage: Bacteria; Pseudomonadati; Nitrospirota; Nitrospiria; Nitrospirales; Nitrospiraceae
Description: PyrR
Source: RNAcentral
CUUACCUUUAAGGCUCAUCCCGUGAGGUGAGCAAGGAGCGACAAGAUGAACGCCGUGCCAAUCGGCCGAGGGAUCGGCGACUCAACCUUCUCACGUCACGGGUGAGGAGGUUUUUUUUU